Small nuclear RNA from Sorex fumeus (smoky shrew), 160 nucleotides. RefSeq annotates it as U1 spliceosomal RNA. Lineage: Eukaryota; Metazoa; Chordata; Mammalia; Eulipotyphla; Soricidae. The transcript has a single exon. The record is from RefSeq and is a predicted model, not a curated record.
AGACUUACCUGGCAAGGGAGAUAACACAAUCAUAAGGGUGGGUUUUCUAGGGCAAGGUUAUGCGUUAUACUCCAAACGUGCUAUCCCUGCAUUUUCCCCAAAUAUGGGAAACUUGAAUGAAUAAUUUGUGAUAGUAGGGGACUACAUUCAUAGUCUCUUG